AUUGAACGCUGGCGGCAGGCCUAACACAUGCAAGUCGAGCGGAUGAAGGGUGCUUGCUCCUGGAUUCAGCGGCGGACGGGUGAGUAAUGCCUAGGAAUCUGCCUGGUAGUGGGGGAUAACGUCCGGAAACGGGCGCUAAUACCGCAUACGUCCUGAGGGAGAAAGUGGGGGAUCUUCGGACCUCACGCUAUCAGAUGAGCCUAGGUCGGAUUAGCUAGUUGGUGGGGUAAAGGCCUACCAAGGCGACGAUCCGUAACUGGUCUGAGAGGAUGAUCAGUCACACUGGAACUGAGACACGGUCCAGACUCCUACGGGAGGCAGCAGUGGGGAAUAUUGGACAAUGGGCGAAAGCCUGAUCCAGCCAUGCCGCGUGUGUGAAGAAGGUCUUCGGGUUGUAAAGCACUUUAAGUGGGGAGGAAGGGCAGUAAGUUAAUACCUUGCUGUUUUGACGGUACCAACAGAAUAAGCACCGGCUAACUUCGUG
This 484-nucleotide ribosomal RNA is filed under the name uncultured bacterium. RNAcentral describes it as "partial 16S ribosomal RNA". It matches the Rfam family "Bacterial small subunit ribosomal RNA", at positions 30 to 507 of the family's 1533-position model. The record is from RNAcentral.